RNAcentral lists this ribosomal RNA (468 nucleotides) under uncultured bacterium. RNAcentral describes it as "partial 16S ribosomal RNA". It matches the Rfam family "Bacterial small subunit ribosomal RNA", at positions 28 to 507 of the family's 1533-position model. The record is from RNAcentral.
GACGAACGCUGGCGGCGUGCUUAACACAUGCCAGUCGAACGGAAAGGCCCUGCUUUUGUGGGGUGCUCGAGUGGCGAACGGGUGAGUAACACGUGAGUAACCUGCCCUUGACUUUGGGAUAACUUCAGGAAACUGGGGCUAAUACCGGAUAGGAGCUCCUGCUGCAUGGUGGGGGUUGGAAAGUUUCGGCGGUUGGGGAUGGACUCGCGGCUUAUCAGCUUGUUGGUGGGGUAGUGGCUUACCAAGGCUUUGACGGGUAGCCGGCCUGAGAGGGUGACCGGCCACAUUGGGACUGAGAUACGGCCGAGACUGCUACGGGAGGCAGCAGUGGGGAAUAUUGCACAAUGGGCGGAAGCCUGAUGCAGCAACGCCGCGUGCGGGAUGACGGCCUUCGGGUUGUAAACCGCUUUCGCCUGUGACGAAGCGUGAGUGACGGUAAUGGGUAAAGAAGCACCGGCUAACUACGUG